GCCAGGCAUGGUGGUGUAUGCUUGUAAUCCCAGCUAUUCAGGAGGCUGAGGUAGGAGGAUCACUUGAGCCCAGGAGGUCGAGGCUGCAGUGAGCCUUGAUUGUGCCACCACACUCCAGCCUGGGCAACAGAGCGAGAUCCUGUCUCAA
RNAcentral lists this non-coding RNA (148 nucleotides) under Chlorocebus sabaeus (green monkey). The record is from Rfam by way of RNAcentral. Lineage: Eukaryota; Metazoa; Chordata; Mammalia; Primates; Cercopithecidae.